This 341-nucleotide ribosomal RNA is filed under the name Coleofasciculus chthonoplastes. RNAcentral's name for it is "bacterial SSU rRNA". It matches the Rfam family "Bacterial small subunit ribosomal RNA", at positions 1197 to 1533 of the family's 1533-position model. Lineage: Bacteria; Bacillati; Cyanobacteriota; Cyanophyceae; Coleofasciculales; Coleofasciculaceae. The record is from RNAcentral.
GCCCCUUACGCUCUGGGCGACACACGUACUACAAUGGUCGGGACAGAGGGCAGCUAACCUGCGAAGGCAAGCUAAUCCCAGAAACUCGGCCUCAGUUCAGAUCGCAGGCUGCAACUCGCCUGCGUGAAGGAGGAAUCGCUAGUAAUCGCCGGUCAGAAUACGGCGGUGAAUCCGUUCCCGGGCCUUGUACACACCGCCCGUCACACCAUGGAAGCUGGCCACGCCCGAAGUCGUUACCCUAACCUUUAGGGGAGGGGGACGCCGAAGGCAGGGUUGGUGACUGGGGUGAAGUCGUAACAAGGUAGCCGUACCGGAAGGUGUGGCUGGAUCACCUCCUUUUU